Molecule: ribosomal RNA, 266 nt
Filed under: uncultured bacterium
Lineage: Bacteria
Description: partial 16S ribosomal RNA
Source: RNAcentral
CUGCUGCCUCCCGUAGGAGUUUGGGCCGUGUCUCAGUCCCAAUGUGGCCGAUCAACCUCUCAAUUCGGCUACGCAUCAUUGCCUUGGUAAGCCUUUACCCUACCAACUAGCUAAUGCGCCGCGGGCCCAUCCAAAAGCGGUAGUAUAGCCACCUUUUACAUAGUUACCAUGCGGUAACUAUGGUUAUGCGGUAUUAGCACCUGUUUCCAAGUGUUAUCCCCCUNUUUUGGGCAGGUUGCCCACGUGUUACUCACCCGUUCGCCACU